RNAcentral lists this ribosomal RNA (429 nucleotides) under uncultured bacterium. Its description in RNAcentral is "bacterial SSU rRNA". It matches the Rfam family "Bacterial small subunit ribosomal RNA", at positions 355 to 775 of the family's 1533-position model. The record is from RNAcentral.
UGGGGAAUUUUGCGCAAUGGGGGAAACCCUGACGCAGCAACGCCGCGUGAGUGAUGAAGGCCUUCGGGUCGUAAAGCUCUGUCAGAGGGGUAGAAAUGCAGGGGUGCUAAUAUCAUCUUUGCUUGACGGUACCCUCAAAGGAAGCACCGGCUAACUCCGUGCCAGCAGCCGCGGUAAUACGGAGGGUGCGAGCGUUGUUCGGAAUUAUUGGGCGUAAAGCGCGUGUAGGCGGUUUGAUAAGUCUGAUGUGAAAGCCCCGGGCUCAACCUGGGAAGUGCAUCGGGAACUGUCAGACUUGAAUACGGGAGAGGGUAGUGGAAUUCCUAGUGUAGGAGUGAAAUCCGUAGAUAUUAGGAGGAACACCGGUGGCGAAGGCGGCUACCUGGACCGAUAUUGACGCUGAGACGCGAAAGCGUGGGGAGCAAACAG